CAUUUAAAAAAAAAAAAAAACUAUUUGGCUUUGAUUGGAGAGAUUCAAAUAUCACAUAUUUGGGCAUCAUCAUUCUAUGCAAGAGUCUGUCUAGUAUGUAUGCAAAUAACUUGGGUAAAGUUUGGGCCGCAUUUAGAGAUGACUUAGAAAGAUGGUGUAGUUUAGACAUUUAAUUGUUUGGAAGAAAAAAUUCAGUCAAAAUGAAUAUAGUACCAAAAAUUCUAUUCUUUAUUAGAGCAAUUCCUCUCACCAUUCGACUAUGUUUCUUUAGAAAAUUUCACUCUGCUCUUUUGACAUUCAUUUGGAAUAGGAAACCGGCAGGAAUCAAGUUAUUCGUAUUGCAAAAUCCUAGAAUUGGAGGAGGUAUGGGCUUGACAUGGAGGCAAUAAAAUUUCUCCCACAUUCAAUUAAUAGCCUAAUUUAGCUUCCUCCAUCUCAGACCAAAUUUCAUUAACAUGUUUCCAACAACCAAGAUUACAAUAAAAGCAUGGGACAUCUUGUCUAAAUAAAUAAACCCCCCAAAAUUUGGUCUAAAGCAGCUCCUAUUUCCAUCUUGAAAAAAGACAUCCCAGAAUUAAACAUUGAUUAUUGGACUUCACAUUCUAUUUUCCGUAUAACUGAUUUUCUUAGGUCAGAAAACGUACCCCAUUCAUGCAAUUAAAUGACACAUUUAAUUUAACCGACUCUGAGAGCCCCACACAUGACAGAACAAGUUAAUUGCUCAAAAUGAAAUGUGCCCUUUCAGAAAACAAUUCAUAUCAAUGUUCAUCUGAAUUAUCAAAUUUAAAAAAUAUAUACAAUUCAGAUCCCACCAAAAGAAGGACUAUUUCAAUUUGCUACUCAUAUUUAAUUAACAUCCAAAAAUUUGAUUUAAUGUUUGCUUGGGAAAAAAGAGUUGAAAAAAAUCCUGAAUAUUACAGACUGGUUUGCAUGUGCGGCGGCGCUGAGGGUCAUUACACGAUAUGUGGCAUGUUUAGAGUCACACUACAAAAUCAUUCAUCGUUGGUAUCUCACACCUGAUGGAUUACAUAAUUUAAAUUAACUAAUGUUGGAGGGGGCUUGGACAAGUGAGCUCAUUGUAUCACAUACUGUAGAUGUGUCCCAAGGUGGGCGCACAUUGGAAAUCGGUCCACAAAUAAAUAUAUACAAUCACAGAUUUAAUCCCCUAGUUGACCACACGAAAUUUGUCUAUUUCAAAUCACCUUCCAAAACGACAAAAACAAUAUUAGGUCAUAUUUCAAUGCAGCAACUACAACCAUAACCAGAUAUUGGAAAACUAG
Non-coding RNA from Pelobates cultripes (western spadefoot toad), 1280 nucleotides. The record is from the annotation of a GenBank genome assembly. Lineage: Eukaryota; Metazoa; Chordata; Amphibia; Anura; Pelobatidae.